RNAcentral lists this ribosomal RNA (813 nucleotides) under uncultured archaeon. RNAcentral describes it as "bacterial SSU rRNA". It matches the Rfam family "Archaeal small subunit ribosomal RNA", at positions 106 to 922 of the family's 1478-position model. The record is from RNAcentral.
AACUUGCCCUUGGGUCCCGGGAUAACCCCUGAGAAAUUGGGGACAAUACCGGAUAGGGCAUCGAUUGCUGGAAUGCACGAUGUCCAAAAGUUGAGGCGCCCAAGGAUAGGUCUGCGGCCGAUUAGGCUGUUGUUGAUGUAAUGGAUCAACAAGCCUGCAAUCGGUACGGGUUGUGAGAGCAAGAGCCCGGAGAUGGGUUCUGAGAAAAGAACCCAGGUCCUACGGGACGCAUCAGGCGCGAAAACUUUACAAUGUCCGAAAGCACGAUAAGGGAACUCUGAGUGCCUCCUAUGGAGGCUGUUCAGGUGUCUAAAAAGCACUUGAAGUAAGGGCUGGGUAAGACCGGUGCCAGCCGCCGCGGUAACACCGGCAGCCCAAGUGGUAGCCACGAUUAUUGGGUCUAAAGCGUCCGUAGCCGGCCAGGUAAGUUCUUUGGGAAAUUUAACCGCUCAACGGUUAAGCUUUCAGGGAAUACUGCUUGGCUUGGGACCGGGAGAGGUCAGAGGUACUUCAAGGGUAGGGGUGAAAUCCGUUAAUCCUUGAGGGACCACCAGUAGCGAAGGCGUCUGACCAGACCGGGUCCGACGGUGAGGGACGAAGGCUAGGGUCGCGAACCGGAUUAGAUACCCGGGUAGUCCUAGCUGUAAACGAUGCGGGCCAGGUGUUGGCAUUACUGCGAGUGAUGUCAGUGCCGAAGGGAAGCCGUUAAGCCCGCCAUCUGGGGAGUACGGUCGCAAGGCUGAAACUUAAAGGAAUAGGCGGGGGAGCACCACAACGGGUGGAGCCUGCGGUUCAAUUGGAUUCAACGCCGGA